ACUCAAAGGAAUUGACGGGGGCCCGCACAAGCGGUGGAGCAUGUGGUUCAAUUCGACGCAACGCGAAGAACCUUACCUGGGUUUGAACCGCCGAUGAAAUCCUCAGAGAUGAGGCCCUCCCGCAAGGGACGUCGGUAGAGGUGCUGCAUGGCUGUCGUCAGCUCGUGUCGUGAGAUGUUGGGUUAAGUCCCGCAACGAGCGCAACCCUUGCCUGUAGUUGCCAUCGGGUCAUGCCGGGAACUCUACAGGGACUGCCCCGGAAAACGGGGAGGAAGGUGGGGAUGACGUCAAGUCCUCAUGGCCUUUAUGUCCAGGGCUACACACGUGCUACAAUGGCCGGUACAAAGGGGUGCAAUACCGCGAGGUGGAGCGAAUCCCAAAAAGCCGGUCUCAGUUCGGAUUGUAGUCUGCAACUCGACUACAUGAAGUCGGAAUCGCUAGUAAUGGCGGAUCAGCAUGCCGCCGUGAAUACGUUCCCGGGCCUUGUACACACCGCCCGU
This 500-nucleotide ribosomal RNA is filed under the name uncultured bacterium. Its description in RNAcentral is "partial 16S ribosomal RNA". It matches the Rfam family "Bacterial small subunit ribosomal RNA", at positions 899 to 1397 of the family's 1533-position model. The record is from RNAcentral.